This 71-nucleotide transfer RNA is filed under the name Marmota monax (woodchuck). RNAcentral's name for it is "tRNA.Val". Lineage: Eukaryota; Metazoa; Chordata; Mammalia; Rodentia; Sciuridae. The record is from RNAcentral.
GGGGUUGUGACUCAGUGGUAGAGCGCUUGCCUAACAUGUAUGAGGCACUGGGUUUGAUACUCAGCACCACA